This is a non-coding RNA of Cinara cedri, 265 nucleotides long. The record is from the annotation of a GenBank genome assembly. Lineage: Eukaryota; Metazoa; Arthropoda; Insecta; Hemiptera; Aphididae.
UAUCGCGGUAUUAUACUACAAAAAGAGUUCAAUAACGGAAUUAAAUUUCUGAAUUCACGAGUAAUGUCAUGUAGAAUGAAAACAGCUAUAUGUAUCCCUAAUAUGACCAGUUAUACUAUAUGGAUUUGAAACUUAGCCUCUUAGAAUAAAGGAUGAAAAUAACUUCACUUUUUUUGAAAGAAAAUUUUUGCGGAGUAUUAGGACGACGUUAUAAAAAAGAUGUCGAACGUUUGGAAAAAGGGUCUAACUGGGGAAAUCUAGCGCU